Molecule: long non-coding RNA, 1280 nt
Organism: Chrysolophus pictus (golden pheasant)
Lineage: Eukaryota; Metazoa; Chordata; Aves; Galliformes; Phasianidae
Source: Ensembl
GAUUUUAUUCUUUUUUUUAAUGAAGUCAACAUUAUAUUUUCCCUGCAUUCAGUGGAAACAAUAAUGGAAAUGUUUUAAGAUGUACUGUGAACCUGUUUUGACCUUAAAAGGGAGAGUAAUAAAAAAUAUCCUUGAUUUUGAUUAAGUUCUAAGAAGGAAAUUAAAAUUAAAUACUUGGAGUUGCAGUUGAGAAGAAAGUAUUUAUCAGGUGGGGAAACAAACAGAGAAAUGAACUGUGAGCAGUCACAUCUUCCAAGUGAGAAUAUGAUAUUAAAAAAAAAGCAGCACAACAAAGUAAGGUAGUUUAGAAUAAACCAUGGUAUCUGUUGUCUUUCAGAUGGUUUCUGCAAACUGGUAAGGUUACAGGCAGGGCAAAUGAAAGGUGUAUCUGCAGCUUAAACAGUUGAAGUCACAUCAAACAAGCAAAACAGUGUAAGUAAAUCAUCACUUAGUUAAUGCUUUUUUAUCUUUCCUUUUAUUUUAUGCUAAGUUUAGUGAAAUAAUGCAGUUCCUUGACAAGUGAAAUGUGCUAAUGUUGGUGCAAAGGAUAUCACAGCAGGUAUGCGUAACUGGAAUUGGAAAGAGGAGAAAAUAAAUUUCUUGGCUUGUCCAUGCUGUGUAGCUUCAGAAGAAAUACAUCUACAUCUGCAUUGCCAAACUAGAACUGGGACCCACCAUGGACUCUUAUCUUCCUUAUUUACACUUCUGCCUUCUGCUCUGGAAAAAAAGAAGUGUUACUCUCUUAUUGUACGAUUCACUGGAAAAUGAAGAUGUGUUGUCCUGCAUGUGUUUUCUUUCCAGAAACCUGAGCUGAUAAUCAUUACAACUGCAGCUGCAAACUUAUCACGUGACACCAGAUUCUUUGAGCAUACUGUGCUAUUUCCCUGAACUGACUUGUGGGAAUCUGAGAGAAAAAUGAGGAUCCGCUGCAGGUGCUAGCUGAAAUCAAUGGAGGCAAAUAACCUUUUUCCUCCACAGUCAUUGCAAGCAUGGAAAAUGUAGAUAACCAAAGAAGUACUGUCUGUUCGAGCAUCCAAAAUUUACCUAGUGCGUGCAGAGAAAGCUCAGUUAUUUUAGAAAUAACACUGAUGCACAGCGAAGUUGCCCUCCAUCCUGAGAGCUUCAGCAUGAGUGCUGCCUACACACAGGAGAAUGGCAGAGCUUUCCCAAAGGGACCUCAGCAGGCCAGGCACUGCGCAAGCUCUUGGUGUAAUUUGCUCUGCUCCUCUCCAGGAUGAACAGAAGUAAUACUUGGGACUGUCAGCCAUUUUGUUAAAUGC